GCACUGCUGAAGAGUUCCACAAUAGGACGAAACGGCCGUCCAGUGC
Schistosoma mattheei is the source of this 46-nucleotide non-coding RNA. The record is from Rfam. NCBI's taxonomy places the organism in Eukaryota, Metazoa, Platyhelminthes, Trematoda, Strigeidida, Schistosomatidae.